ACAUACGUCCAUACCCACUGGAGAACUCGGGAUCCCGUCCGCUCUCCCAUAGAUAAGCCAGUGAGGGCCGGAUUGGUAGUUGGGUCGGUGACGACCAGCGAAUACCUGGUGUUGUAUGUU
Non-coding RNA from Colletotrichum higginsianum, 120 nucleotides. NCBI's taxonomy places the organism in Eukaryota, Fungi, Ascomycota, Sordariomycetes, Glomerellales, Glomerellaceae. The record is from Rfam.